UUACAGCUACCAUUCCAAUCCUUGUGCUGAGCUCAUGGAAACGAACUCUCCCUAAUGCCUUUGUUAGGAACUUAGGAUGUUGAGAGUUGGUCCUAGCUGGUCCUUGGUGCCAAUGAAAUAAGCAAAUAUGCUCCCAUUCUCCAAAAAUUCGGGGAUGAAAUGAUACCGGACAACGAUGCGGACAUACUGUUCAUCUUCAGCUUGAUGGUGUCAGCUUUCUUGCCCUUAUGAUUGCCAAGCAACCAUGCUAGCCAAACGGCUUGGCUUCCCCCAGUUGUUGCAGCGACAUACUCUUCUUUUCAGGAAGACAGUCACAACUUGCUGCUUGACUGAUUGCCAGCUUACCCGGCCGCCGCCGAGGAAGAAUAGAGCUUUGGAUGUGCUCUUCAUGGUGUCAAUGUCGGUCGCUUUCUGAAUGGCCAACCAGUUUUCUUCCCCUAAACUACGCGGACAGGAGAGACCGUACUCUAUUGUGCGGCCAUGUAGCACAACAGCUGCUUCACGGCGCCCAUGUGCUCUGUUAGGAAAUAUGCAACUUGUAUUCCCAUGAGGCCAUAGGCCGAUAUAUAUACAUGUACAGGUGUGGACUAUAUGCAGAGAACCCCUUAUACAAUGGGAUAAGUACGAAGGGGUACAUCGCUAUAUUAUAUAUACUCUUAACACCCCCCCCUCAAACUCAUGGUGGAUGAAUAACACUGAGUUUGGAGAGAUAGAAGCCAUGUUGCACUCUAGUCUGGGCCUUCGUCAGGAAAUUCCCCAAUUGUAACUCGGAAGGCACAUACUGGAGAGCAAUAACCUGAUCCUGCACACCAGCACGCACAUAAAAAGCAUCAACACCAAUGUGCUUGGUGAGCUCAUGCUUCACAGGAUCGCGCGCAAUGCUGAUAGCACCUGUACUGUCAGGUAAGAGCAUAGUAGGUGUAGUGACAGAAACACCAAAAUCCUGAAGUAACCACCGUAACCAAGUCACCUCUGCCGUCAAAAGAGCCAUCGCUCGCAACUCAGCCUCUGCACUCGAACGUGAAACUACGGUCUGUUUCUUCGUCUUCCAGGCAAUGAGAGAACCACCAAGAAAAACACAGUAAGCAGAAAGUGAACGGCGAUCUGAAGGAUCACUAGCCCACGUAGCAUUGGAAUAGACCUGAAGCUGUAAAGAACCGGAGCGAGGAAAGAAUAGACGAUGAGAGAUCGUGCCCCGAAGAUAUCGGAGAACACGAAGGAGGUGACUAUAGUGAACCGAGGUGGGAGCGGAGACAAACUGAAUGAGAAUAUGAACCGGAUAAGAGAUAUCCGGUCGAGUGACAGCUAGAUAGACAAGACUGCCAACAAGAUGACGAUAACGCGUCGGGUCAGGUAGGGGAUCACCAUCAGUAUCACGAAGGUGAACAUUGAGCUCCAUGGGAGUCUCAACAAUGCACUCGUCAAUAAGAGCAGCACGAGCAUGAAGAUCCUGGAUAUACUUUUCCUGGGAUAUAAAAAACCAUCAGAGGUAGAAGAGACUUCAAUCCCAAGAAAGUAACGAAGAGGUCCAUGAUCAGACAUAAGAAACUGCUCACUAAGAUGGGCCUUUACAAAGGCAAUAUACUCGGGGUCAUCACCAGUGAUGAUCAUGUCAUAAACAUAGAGAAGAAGAAGAGUCCGACCACGAGGAGAAAGGAGGACAAAUAAUGCUGGAUCAUGAGCACUGGUUGAAAAACCAGCAGCAAUUACCAUAGAGGCAAAUCGCUCAAACCAGGCGCGGGGGGCUUGCUUAAGGCCAUAGAGAGAGCGACGAAGACGACAUACCAUGCCAUCAGGAACAGAAUACCCAGGUGGUGGCUGCAUGUACACCUCACGCAACUCACCAUUAAGAAAGGCAUUCUUAACAUGAAGCUGAGAUACAGAGGCCACGGCAAGAAGUGUACGAAUAGUGGUCAUAUGGGCCACAGGAGCAAAAUUCUCGUCGUAAUCACGACCAUGCUCUUGCUGAAAGCCACGAGCCACAAGACGAGCUUUAUAACGCUCAAGAGAACCAUCGGAGCGAGUCUUAACCUUGUAGACCCACUUACAAGUGAUGGGACGGACGCCAGGGGGAAGGGAAACAAGAUCCCAUGUACCGGUGCGUUCAAGAGCAGCAAUCUCCUCUGCCAUCGCAAACUGCCAUUCAGGAUGAACAACAGCCUGACGAUAGGAAGUCGGCUCAAGAACAGUAGCACCAGCGGUGGGAAACCCAAGGCGAUCAAUAGGCAGACGAGGCUGAGAACGCAAGGCAUAGGGAGGCUGAGAUGAGGACGACGACACAUCCGCAGAGGCAUCCACAUGACGUGAACGACGAGUGUAACACUGAGGAAAAGAUGGAACAAUGCAAGGAGGGAUCGCCAAGGUAGAAUCGGGGGGUGAAGACGAAGAAGUCACCGGAGAUGAAGGUGCAGAAGCCGGUGACAUGCUAGGGGUGGAAACCGUGGGAGAUGGUGGUGGCAAAUCGGCAAGAGAUGGAGAAGCAGAGGUAGUAGAACGAAUAGACAAAGGCUCGAUGGGCGGUGAGAGGUGUAUCAGGAAAAGUGAGGAAAGAGAUAUCCUCCACUGAAAAGGUCGAGGAGGAUGGGCGUGGGUAGAAGGGACGACACUCAUCAAAAGUCACAUCCCGAGAGAUACGCAUCCGAUGACCGAUAGGAUCCCAACAACGAUAGCCCUUAUGCUCAUCACUAUAGCCUAAGAAGACACACUCAACAGUCUGAGCGGUCAGUUUGGUGCGUUCGCGAGGGGCAAGAAGAACAUAGCAAACACAACCAAACAAGCGAAGCAUCGAAUAAUCAGGAGAACGAUCAAAAAGACGCUCGAAAGGAACACCACCCUGUAGAGUAGCGGAAGGUUGUAGAUUGAUGAGAUAGGUGGAGGUGGAGACGGCUUCAGCCCAAAAAUGAGGCGGGAGAGAGGCAGCAAUCAUUAAUGCACGAGCCGUCUCAAGAAGAUGACGAUGCUUUCGCUCAGCCAUGCCAUUCUGAGUGUGAGCACCAGGACAAGAGAACUGAGAAAGAGUCCCUUGCUCAGCAAGAACACCCCGCAACAUCUUAGAAAUAUACUCGCCAGCAGAGUCAGCACGAAACACACGAUUGGGCGAAGAGAAUUGAGUGUGAACCACGGCAGCAAAACGCUUAUAAAUAGACAACACCUCACUACGAGAAGUCAUGAAAUAAAGCCAUGUGUAAAGAGUGAAAUCAUCUAUGAAAAUAAUAUAGUAUUUAUGACCCCCUUUCGAAGCGAAGGGAGCCGGACCCCAUACAUCAGAAUGGACUAAAUCAAAAGGACGCUUAGACACCGACUCACUAUGCGAAUAUGGUAAUUGAAUCUGCUUGCCAAGACGGCAACCCUGACAUUCUAAAGAGACAUCUCCUGAGACAGACCCCAGAAGACCUCGACGAACUAAAGAUGACAAGCGAGAACCACAAAGAUGACCAAGUCGAUGAUGCCACUGCUGGAAGGAACCGGUAGUAGAGGCGACCGAAGCGGAGGAACUGGCGAUAGUGGUGGCAGCGGAAGGAACAUGAAGCCAGUCUAACUCCCAAAGACCCUGAGAAUCAUGGCGGCGAGGGCCAGCCCCAACCAGAGUGUGCGUGCGACGGUCCUGGAUAGAACAAGAGUCAACGUCAAGAUGACGCGACAACCAGAAUCAGUAAGUUGACCAGCAGAAAACAGAUUCAUGGUAAGUCUAGGAACAUGAGCAACAUCAGGGACAAAAUAAGGAGUGGUAAGAUUGCCUCUACUAACGACAGAAAGAGGAGUACCAUCAACAGUGAGGACAUGAACGGGAGAAUCAAGCGAACGAAGAGAGGACAGAGUGGAAGAAUGAGAAGAACAUAUGAAAAGAAGCUCCAGAGUCCAGAAUCCAUGGGGAUGUACCUGACUGUGUAGAAGGUGGUUGCUCAGUGCGAGAAGCAUCAGUCACAGAACCAGCAGUACCCGUCGAGGAAGAAUCUGAAGCAGCAAGCAGACGCUUAAGUCUCAGAAUAUCCCGCUCAGUCAAAGCGGUGGUUGAAGAUGUCGAGGUAGUAGACGAAGUCCCUGAAGAUGAUGAUCGCGCCUGACGCAGGUGUUUCUUUUUCCAGAAGCACUGAGACUCAACAUGACCAUCCAGGUUGCAGUAGCCGCAAUGUGGACGGGGGCGGCCCGAGCCGCCAGGAGGAGUGGACAAGAGCGGCGGAGCACUCGAGCGAGACGAAGUCGGUGCAGCAUGUGGCGUAGCAGGGGCUCGAGCAGCGAGCAUAGAGGGAAUCUCUAGUAAACCAGCACCACGCAAGCGAGUCUCCUCAGCACGAAUCUCAGAAAGUGCCUCCAUGAGAGAAAUGCGGCCACGAGCAAACAACUGAGCACGUCGGGGCUCAAACUCCUUACGGAGCCGAGACAAAAAUUCGUAGACACGAUGAAACUCCAAAUUGGCCUGUACAGCCUGGCAACAUGGGCAAGUACGACAACCAGCACUGCGGAGAGAAUCAAGCUAGCGCCAGAUAGCAGAACUCUGUGCAUAGAAAUCAUCAACAGUGGAGUCACCUUGCUGAAGAGCAUGCUCCUGACGAACCACAGAGAGGUAUAAGGCAUCACCAGAGGGCUCAUAUCACUGACGAAGACGGGUCCACAUCUCAAAGACAGUAGGAAGACCCAGAAACUCAGAGGCAAACUGGGGCAGAACACUAGCAGUGAGAACAGCUGCAGCACGAGCAUAAUCAUCAAGCCACUGGGUGUAAACAGACAGAGCACCAUGAUACGCCUGAAGAGCCUCCUCAUAAAUCAAAACCUGCUCAUCAUAAGUACGAACAACGGCCUCAUCAGCAAGCUUAGCUGCAUCCUUCGCAGACUGAUUAGCAUCCGCAGGAAGAACCGGUGGCGUCGGCGGAGUGGGGGCCACAGGAGGAACCGGACGUGGUGGACAACGGACUUCGCCAGAAAGAACGCCCCAUAGACGGAUGCCACGCAUGUGAAUGUGCAUGAAGCCAAUGAACUCGGUGUAGUUAGUGCCAUAAAAAAUCACCGGACAACGAGGAACAACAACGUAGCCUGAUGCAGCAGACAUUGUUUUUUUUAGGAAUAUCUCCCGGCGGCAGCAGAGAUGUCCAGCAGUGGAACGGAGCGAACUCGGCUGGAUCUAGGAUCAGCAGCGGCCAGGGCGCUCGAUCCAGAGGAUGGCAGCAGGAUCCGGCGACGGGCGAUUAGAGGAGACCUGGCGGCGAGGUUGACUUGGGGAGGGAGCUGCAGCCGGCGGCUCGGGCGGGAGUUGGAGCUGCAGCCGGGCCACGGGAUCAGGCAGCAACUGGAGACGGCUGAGUCCGGCGAGACGGUGGCGGGAGCUGGCGAUACUGGGGCGAGGCGAACAGAUCGAGAAUCACCAGAUCUGGCAAGAUGGCGGCCUCCAGCGGGGACGCGGUUGGAGCGGGAAUCACCAGAUCGAGGCCAGCCUCCAGCGGGGGCGCGGUUGGAGCGGGACUGAUGGGGUGCCCUCCAGCAGGGAAGAAGAGACAGCCACGAGAUAGUCUUCGGCCGGAACAACCUUCGACGGGAAAGAGGAGACGGCGGCGGCGGCUGUGCAGGGGAUUGGAUCGGGAGGAGCACAUGUUGCGUGUGCUAAACAAAGAACCUAGGUUCUAAUACCAUGUUAGGAAAUAUGCAACUUGUAUUCCCAUGAGGCCAUAGGCCGAUAUAUAUACAUGUACAGGUGUGGACUAUAUGCAGAGAACCCCUUAUACAAUGGGA
Molecule: long non-coding RNA, 5724 nt
Filed under: Hordeum vulgare
Lineage: Eukaryota; Viridiplantae; Streptophyta; Magnoliopsida; Poales; Poaceae
Description: long non-coding RNA (HVUL_LNC018921)
Source: RNAcentral